UUCGUUCCACGCGGAUUGCGAUGAAACGUGGUGGUGGUGAAUCGAAGGUUCGCUGUUUGCCAGUCAGUUAUUUAGUUUCCGACCACGUUGUUUUGAAACAGCCGGAAUCCAAGUCUUUCCUUUGCAAUCGCCUUGUGAGUUGAAGUAAUAGUUCGUCCAAUCAUUUUUUUCCGGAAAUGUAAUUUUCGUGAACUCAGUAUUGUAUAGGUAUAUGAAGUUACUUCCAUUUUGUGAUUAGUUUGAUAAGGUUGUUUGUUAAACUGAUGUGAACUGUAUUUAAAAAGUGUGGACAUACUUAAAAAACUUCCAUCUUCCUAUGUAAUUCCACUUUGACAAAAUACCAUUAAGGUAAAUUUGACGAAACGACUGGUGUCCAUGUGGAAAGAAGGAGAAGAAGCUGCUUAUAAAGUUAGAUCGUCGUAAAAAACCGAUAAUUGCCAUCUACACAACAAAUAGAGGCACAAUCAUAACAAACACACAACGUUGUGUUCUCUCCUUUCGUCUGCCAUAAUCGCAGUUCAAACAACAGCUGAAGCAGCCGAGGAAGGAGCCUUGCGCGAACGCGAGUGAGAUUUCGUUAAUUCAUUGGCCAAACACUCCAUUCUUCGACGAGACAAACAGCAUCUAUUAUAGUCGGGUCAGUCAGUGUAACGUAACAUUUGAUAAACUGUGCUUUGAGCUUUCACACUUACUCUCUUUUUUUUUUCCUCACGGGUUCUUUGUGCUACGACAUGUUUCUUCCAAUUAGUAAUUUUGUGUCUGAUAA
Molecule: long non-coding RNA, 766 nt
Organism: Agrilus planipennis (emerald ash borer)
Lineage: Eukaryota; Metazoa; Arthropoda; Insecta; Coleoptera; Buprestidae
Exons: 2
Source: RefSeq, a predicted model, not a curated record